GACGUAGGGCGCGAGCGUUGUCCGGAUUUAUUGGGCGUAAAGAGCUCGUAGGCGGCUUGUCGCGUCGACUGUGAAAACCCGCGGCUUAACUGCGGGCCUGCAGUUGAUACGGGCAGGCUAGAGUUCGGUAGGGGAGACUGGAAUUCCCGGUGUAGCGGUGAAAUGCGCAGAUAUCGGGAAGAACACCCGUGGCGAAGGCGGCUCUCUGGGACGGUACUGACGCUGAGACGCGAAAGCGUGGGGAGCGAACAGG
This 253-nucleotide ribosomal RNA is filed under the name uncultured bacterium. Its description in RNAcentral is "partial 16S ribosomal RNA". It matches the Rfam family "Bacterial small subunit ribosomal RNA", at positions 524 to 776 of the family's 1533-position model. The record is from RNAcentral.